UACAGAGGUCUCAAGCGUUGUUCGGAUUCAUUGGGCGUAAAGGGUGCGUAGGCUGUGCGGAAAGUUAGGUGUGAAAUCCCCCGGCUCAACCGGGGAAUAGCGCUUAAAACUACCGUGCUGGAGGAAGACAGAGGUGAGCGGAACUUCGGGUGGAGCGGUGAAAUGCGUUGAUAUCCGAAGGAACACCGGUGGCGAAAGCGGCUCACUGGGUCGUUUCUGACGCUGAUGCACGAAAGCUAGGGGAGCAAACGGG
RNAcentral lists this ribosomal RNA (253 nucleotides) under uncultured bacterium. RNAcentral describes it as "partial 16S ribosomal RNA". It matches the Rfam family "Bacterial small subunit ribosomal RNA", at positions 524 to 776 of the family's 1533-position model. The record is from RNAcentral.